Long non-coding RNA from Dendroctonus ponderosae (mountain pine beetle), 542 nucleotides. RefSeq lists it as uncharacterized. The record is from RefSeq and is a predicted model, not a curated record. The transcript is spliced from 3 exons. NCBI's taxonomy places the organism in Eukaryota, Metazoa, Arthropoda, Insecta, Coleoptera, Curculionidae.
GGACCACGGCUUCAAAGCCCGAAAAACAUUUCUAAAUUUUCGAAGUUCGUGGUCUGGCAACGCUGAUCGUGCAUGAUACGAAUACGAGCACGACAACCACGGGCGAGAAUAGUUUGAUAAUCUGUGAUUUGCUUCAUGUUGUAACUGUAAACUCUGGUGUUCCAAUAAUGGUGCAAUUAGAAGAAAAGUGUAAAGCGAUCGUCAAAUACAGUCAGUAGAAUACGAGAUUGGCAGCGCUCCAUUACUGGCAAUUAGCCAGCUCAUUAGAGGCGAGGUGGCUGUUUGGUAUGCUACCAUAUUAUCUCGCAAGUUGGUUUGUUUAAGUGUUGUGGAGUAGACCUUCAAAUAGAAUCUAGCUAUCAACAAGUAGCUUUUUUUUUAUCAAACUAGUAAGGUUUUUUAUCUCCAUUCUCAACUGGUCAUUUUUCUUGCUGCCACUAAAUUUUGGAGUUGAGAAAUUACUCAAAAUUAAUUUUACUCAAAAAUAAUUAAAAUGGCAUUCUUCUUUAAUAAUUUAGCAGUUCAAUAAAGCAUGCCCAUAA